Molecule: ribosomal RNA, 426 nt
Filed under: uncultured bacterium
Lineage: Bacteria
Description: bacterial SSU rRNA
Rfam family: Bacterial small subunit ribosomal RNA
Source: RNAcentral
GUGAGGAAUAUUGCACAAUGGGGGAAACCCUGAUGCAGCAACGCCGCGUGGGCGAAGAAGGCCUUCGGGUUGUAAAGCCCUUUUCUGGGGGACGAGAGAGGACGGUACCCCAGGAAUAAGGUUCGGCUAACUACGUGCCAGCAGCCGCGGUAAUACGUAGGAACCGAGCGUUAUCCGGAUUCACUGGGCGUAAAGCGCGUGCAGGCGGUUUGGUAAGUCGGACGUGAAAGCUCCUGGCUUAACUGGGAGAGGUCGUUCGAGACUGCCGGGCUAGAGGUCGGGAGAGGGACGUAGAAUUCCCGGUGUAGUGGUGGAAUGCGUAGAUAUCGGGAGGAAUACCAGUGGCGAAGGCGACGUCCUGGCCCGCACCUGACGCUAAGACGCGAAAGCGUGGGGAGCGAACGGGAUUAGAAACCCUAGUAGUCC